GCCUGGGGAGAGUGGCGCCGAUCGAUUAGCAUGCUAGUUGCACGAGUUCAGACUCGUAGCAGAUAGCUCAGUAACACGUGGCCAAACUACCCUAUGGAUCCGGAUACCCUCGGGAAACUGAGACUAAUCCGGAAUACCACUCGAUGCCUGGAACUGGCUCGAGUGCGAAACGCUCCGGCGCCAUAGGAUGUGGCUGCGGCCGAUUAGGUAGACGGUGGGGUAACGGCCCACCGUGCCGAUAAUCGGUACGGGUUGUGAGAGCAAGAGCCCGGAGACGGUAUCUGAGACAAGAUACCGGGCCCUACGGGGCGCAGCAGGCGCGAAACCUUUACACUGCACGACAGUGCGAUAAGGGGACUCCAAGUGCGAGGGCAUAUAGUCCUCGCUUUUCACGACCGUAAGGUGGUCGUAGAAUAAGUGCUGGGCAAGACCGGUGCCAGCCGCCGCGGUAAUACCGGCAGCACGAGUGAUGACCGCUAUUAUUGGGCCUAAAGCGUCCGUAGCUGGCCUCGCAAGUCCAUCGGGAAAUCUGUCCGCUUAACGGACAGGCGUCCGGUGGAAACUGCGUGGCUUGGGACCGGAAGAUCCAGAGGGUACGUCUGGGGUAGGAGUGAAAUCCCGUAAUCCUGGACGGACCGCCGGUGGCGAAAGCGCUCUGGAAAGACGGAUCCGACGGUGAGGGACGAAAGCUCGGGUCACGAACCGGAUUAGAUACCCGGGUAGUCCGAGCUGUAAACGAUGUCUGCUAGGUGUGACACAGGCUACGAGCCUGUGUUGUGCCGUAGGGAAGCCGUGAAGCAGACCGCCUGGGAAGUACGUCCGCAAGGAUGAAACUUAAAGGAAUUGGCGGGGGAGCACUACAACCGGAGGAGCCUGCGGUUUAAUUGGACUCAACGCCGGACAUCUCACCAGCAUCGACAACGUGCCGUGAAGGUCAGUGUGAUGAGCUUACUGGAGCCGUUGAGAGGAGGUGCAUGGGCCGCCGUCAGCUCGUACCGUGAGGCGUCCUGUUAAGUCAGGCAACGAGCGAGACCCGCACUCCUAAUUGCCAGCACACCUUGUGGUUGUUGGGUACAUUAGGAGGACUGCAGUGCUAACUGGAGGAGAACGGGCAACGGUAGGUCAUAUGCCCCGAAUGUGCUGGCGACAACCGGGCUACAAUGGCCCAGAACGUGGGAACGCCAACCCUC
Molecule: ribosomal RNA, 1190 nt
Filed under: Haloterrigena sp. XJNU-45
Lineage: Archaea; Methanobacteriati; Methanobacteriota; Halobacteria; Halobacteriales; Natrialbaceae
Description: bacterial SSU rRNA
Rfam family: Archaeal small subunit ribosomal RNA
Source: RNAcentral